CAGUAGCCGCGGUAAUACGUAGGGUGCAAGCGUUAAUCGGAAUUACUGGGCGUAAAGGGUGCGUAGGCGGUUGUUUAAGUCUGUUGUGAAAUCCCCGGGCUCAACCUGGGAAUGGCAAUGGAAACUGGACGGCUAGAGUGUGUCAGAGGAUGGUGGAAUUCCCGGUGUAGCGGUGAAAUGCGUAGAGAUCGGGAGGAACACCUGAGGCGAAAGCGGCUCACUGGACCAUAACUGACGCUGAGGCGCGAAAGCUAGGGGAGCAAACAGGAUUAGAGACCCCAGUAGUCCCUGUCUCUUAUAC
RNAcentral lists this ribosomal RNA (301 nucleotides) under uncultured bacterium. RNAcentral's name for it is "partial 16S ribosomal RNA". It matches the Rfam family "Bacterial small subunit ribosomal RNA", at positions 509 to 807 of the family's 1533-position model. The record is from RNAcentral.